This 1618-nucleotide long non-coding RNA is filed under the name Monodelphis domestica (gray short-tailed opossum). RNAcentral describes it as "lncRNA (ENSMODG00000038989.1)". Lineage: Eukaryota; Metazoa; Chordata; Mammalia; Didelphimorphia; Didelphidae. The record is from RNAcentral.
GCUUCACAGGUGGCUAGUCCUAUAUUCUCUGAUGUCUCACCAAGCACUCUAUUUGUAUGUCUCAGGAGCGCCACAGAUUUAUUAGAGAAGACAAAUCUCAUUGUCUUUCCCCCACGCUUUGUAUCUAGGGAUGCUGUUAAUCUCUAGAGCUGUCGGCAAAUCUCCCCUUUUCUUCACAGCCCACUGCCCACCUGUUGCCAAAUCCUGCUUCUUUCUUCAUCACCUUUGUAAAGUGUCUAUCCAUCUCUCUUAUCUUUCUCCCCUGACUCCAUUUACCCCCAAACCACAUGGAAAAUAACAUUCAAUUCCUUAAUCUUAACAAAGCAUGGGAAAAGGCUCCAGUUUCUUAUAAUGGUUAGAGUGACUGUUCUCAACUUAAAUUCAAUGAACGAAUUUGAUGUUUUUAAACACUACAGUCUGUCCCUGAAGCCUCUGGCUUCUGGGCUGUCAUUAAAAAGAGAGCACAGGGUAGAAAUCCUUGGAAGAAAAGUGGCAUCCCACAAGUAAAACUUAAAUGAUAGAGCUACUCCCUGGGUUUUGCUGAAAGGACUAGCUUAGUUUAUAAACAAUGAGAUAGUCAGGAUAGAAGGUGACCCAACUGACUGCAGUUGUUUGACUGAUGUUGCUAAAACUCAUUAGUAGGGGUUUCAGAGGAACAGCAAAAUAAACUGAGUGGUUCCAUUGUCUGUUAAUCAGCAGAGACAGAUGAGGACAGAACUGGCCCCAACCUGAAAGCCACCAAAUGAUGUUUUCUAUGCCACAGCAUCAUGAUUCCAUAUCUGUGUGUCAUGCGGGUCUUCGUCAUUCAUCAAGGGACAUUGCUCAAACCAAAUUGCAGACUUACUGAAGCAGAAAUUCCAAUCAUCAGAAAACCUAAAACAUUAUGCAAGAAGGUACUGUUUUCAUAUUAAGAUUCAGAACAUACUGUUGCAAGACGGCCGCCUUGUUAUCUACCUUUCAGUUAGUCAUGGGAUCCUUAUGUGAAGCUAGCUUUCGACCUGUCUCUCACCUUCUCCUGCUUGACUCGUGUGAGGAUCCCUCGGGAAGAAGCAGAAUGAGAUUACAUUUACUCAAAAGAAGACAAAAUCAAGAAACAUCAAAACAUCACAAUCUACCCGUAAGCCUGUGUUGUACUUCCUUGCCAAUGCAUCCAGUGUCUAUGAGGAUAAGGGAACAAUCAUUCAUACAACAAAGAAAUAUAUGAAUGAGGAAGUCCAUGUGUCUGGGACAAUUUAUCACUCUGGACUACAAUCCUUGAUAUGCUUUGUCCCUUUAGAAAUAAUCUGUACCAUGCAAAGCUACUUCUUUGCUAACUUGUCUCUUUAGUCCUCAGUGCUCUCUUACUAGGUAAAGCUAUUUCUUUUCUUCUGUCAAACCAAUGAAGAAGCAACAAAUCUUUUUGCUCACAGCCAUCCUUAGCAGGGUACUGAGAAAAAUGUGUUAUAUUCUUUCAGUGACAAGCAGUUCCUUUAAGCUGCAGAAAUGUUCCUCAGAUCUACAAAUAGCAGGAGAUUCUACUUUCUCCAAUCAACUCUAAGCCUCAGAACAUGAUUCUUGUAACCAAGGAAUAAUGUUUUAAACUGACUAAUUAAAUAAAAUUUUCAAAAAAAAGGAAACA